This 727-nucleotide ribosomal RNA is filed under the name uncultured earthworm cast bacterium. RNAcentral describes it as "bacterial SSU rRNA". It matches the Rfam family "Bacterial small subunit ribosomal RNA", at positions 32 to 768 of the family's 1533-position model. The record is from RNAcentral.
AACAGCUGGCGGCGUGCUUAACACAUGCAAGUCAGGGGGCUCAGCAAUGGGCAACCGGCGAACGGGUGCGUAACACGUGAGCAACCUGCCUUUGUGUGGGGGAUAGCCGGCCCAACGGCCGGGUAAUACCGCAUACGAUUCUUUGGGGGAGUCCCCAGGGNAAGGAAACCUCCGGGGCACAAAGAGGGGCUCGCGGCCUAUCAGCUAGUUGGCGGGGUAAUGGCCCACCAAGGCGACGACGGGUAGCUGGUCUGAGAGGAUGGCCAGCCACAUUGGGACUGAGAGACGGCCCAGACUCCUACGGGAGGCAGCAGUGGGGAAUCUUGCGCAAUGGCCGAAAGGCUGACGCAGCGACGCCGCGUGUGGGAUGACGCCUUUCGGGGUGUAAACCACUGUUGCCCGGGACGAACCUGGUCUUUCGAGACCACUGACGGUACCGGGUGAGGAAGCACCGGCUAACUCCGUGCCAGCAGCCGCGGUAAUACGGAGGGUGCGAGCGUUGUCCGGAAUCACUGGGCGUAAAGGGCGCGUAGGUGGCUGGGGAAGUCGGCGGUGAAAGCCCGGAGCUCAACUCCGGGUCGGCCGUCGAGACUCCUCGGCUCGAGCUCACUAGAGGCAGAUGGAAUUCCGGGUGUAGCGGUGGAAUGCGUAGAGAUCCGGAAGAACACCGGUGGCGAAGGCGGUCUGCUGGGGUGAGGCUGACACUGAUGCGCGACAGCGUGGGGAG